UACGUAGGGUGCAAGCGUUGUCCGGAAUUACUGGGCGUAAAGAGCUCGUAGGCGGUUUGUCGCGUCGUCUGUGAAAACUCGAGGCUCAACCUCGAGCUUGCAGGCGAUACGGGCAGACUUGAGUACUGCAGGGGAGACUGGAAUUCCUGGUGUAGCGGUGAAAUGCGCAGAUAUCAGGAGGAACACCGGUGGCGAAGGCGGGUCUCUGGGCAGUAACUGACGCUGAGGAGCGAAAGCCAGGGGAGCAAACGGG
RNAcentral lists this ribosomal RNA (253 nucleotides) under uncultured bacterium. Its description in RNAcentral is "partial 16S ribosomal RNA". It matches the Rfam family "Bacterial small subunit ribosomal RNA", at positions 524 to 776 of the family's 1533-position model. The record is from RNAcentral.